This 581-nucleotide ribosomal RNA is filed under the name uncultured bacterium. RNAcentral's name for it is "bacterial SSU rRNA". It matches the Rfam family "Bacterial small subunit ribosomal RNA", at positions 102 to 679 of the family's 1533-position model. The record is from RNAcentral.
ACGGGUGAGUAAUGUCUGGGGAUCUGCCCGAUAGAGGGGGAUAACCACUGGAAACGGUGGCUAAUACCGCAUAACGUCGCAAGACCAAAGAGGGGGACCUUCGGGCCUCUCACUAUCGGAUGAACCCAGAUGGGAUUAGCUAGUAGGCGGGGUAAUGGCCCACCUAGGCGACGAUCCCUAGCUGGUCUGAGAGGAUGACCAGCCACACUGGAACUGAGACACGGUCCAGACUCCUACGGGAGGCAGCAGUGGGGAAUAUUGCACAAUGGGCGCAAGCCUGAUGCAGCCAUGCCGCGUGUAUGAAGAAGGCCUUCGGGUUGUAAAGUACUUUCAGCGGGGAGGAAGGCGGUGAGGUUAAUAACCUUGCCGAUUGACGUUACCCGCAGAAGAAGCACCGGCUAACUCCGUGCCAGCAGCCGCGGUAAUACGGAGGGUGCAAGCGUUAAUCGGAAUUACUGGGCGUAAAGCGCACGCAGGCGGUCUGUUAAGUCAGAUGCGAAAUCCCCGGGCUUAACCUGGGAACUGCAUUUGAAACUGGCAGGCUUGAGUCUCGUAGAGGGGGGUAGAAUUCCAGGUGUAGC